UAGCCGACAGGAUCCCGCCCGGCCACCGCCUGGGAGCCGCCUGCGACACGUGCUCCCACUCUGUCCGGGUUCUGGUAACUGCGGGCUCGGUCUCGUGUGCGGGCCUCAGUGGGCCAUGGCGGUGGCUGCGGCGGAAACGCGCGUGUUCCUGGAAGUGCGGAGACGGCUGCAGAGCGCGCUGCUAAUCCUGGGUGAGCCAGACGAAGGAGGGAUGCGCCUGGACGUUUCUAUAACUCCCACCUCACUCUUGAUGCGGACACCUGAUGGCUGCACCGAGACCCAGCUUCCAGCAGAGGUCAGGCUUGUGCCUUCCUCGUGCCGAGGCUUGCAGUACAUCCGAGGAGAUGGGUUGCAUCUGCGUCUGCAGGCCCACACUGAAUCAGGCCCACAACCGAUUUCAGUGUUUAACCAAAGCUUGCAAGCUCAAGGACGCUGCACAUUUUAUUGCCAGUCCUGCGGUGACGUCACGAUAAAGGACAGGAAGCUCCUCAGGGUGCUCCCACUGCCGAGUGAGAACUGGGGAGCUCUCGUUGGAGAGUGGUGCUGUCAUCCUGACCCCUUUGCUAAUAAGCCUCUACAUCCACGAGAAAAUGACUGUUUUAUUGGGGACACUUUCUUCUUAGUGAAUUUGAGAAGUGAUUUGGAGCAGGAACCAAAAGCAAAUACCAAAGUCAUUUGUAAGCGUUGCAAGGUAGUGUUGGGAGAGACUGUAUCAUCAGAAACAACUAAAUUUUACAUGACAGAGAUAAUUAUUCAGCCAUCUGAGGGAAGUUUUCCUAACAUACCAAGGUCUCAGUUUGUUCAGAGUAUCAUUGCCCAGUGCCUGGUGGAACUCUCCUCUGCGAGAAGCACUUUUAGAUUCACAAUUCAAGGUCAGGAUGGCAAAGUGUACAUCUUGCUCUGGAUUUUAAACUCAGACAGUUUGGUGAUUGAACCACUUCGAAAUUCCAGUUGUGUCAAAAAGUUCCCGCUGUUGGAAAAUACAUCGGAAGCUGACUCCAGCUCUGCUUGGAACGCAGUCAAAGUCCUCUACCAGCCCUGCAUCAAAAACAGGAAUGAAGAGCUUGCUCGCUCAUGGGAAAGUGACAUCAGUGUCCACCCUUUGACUCUGCCCUCUGCGACCUGCCUGGAGCUGCUGCUGAUACUGUCGAGGAGCAAUGCAUCACUGCCUCUGUCCCUUUGCCAGAUGAAUUCCUUUCAGUUUGCAUUCUCUACUUCCAAUCUGCUGAGGUGUGAACAGCUUGCUACUACACCCUUCUGCUGACAUGAGCCCAACCAUGCCUUCUCUACUGUGAUGGACUGAGCCUUCUCACGGUGAGCCAAGGUGGCCUUUUUGAAGAUAUAGCUGUUGAAGUCUGUAACAUGAAAAAAAAAAAAAAAAAAAAAAGACCCAGUGAUUGAUAUUGGGGUUCAAGCUUCAAGCUGAAGAUCAGAAAAACAAAUAUGUAUCACGACAGAAGCCGAGGCUUUCUGGUCUACCAGUACAGAGCACAGCCAAGGCCAGGAGUCAGCUCUGUGAACAUAGCCUGCAGAGUUGAACAAGAACUAGAGCUGCAGAAUGAGGUUCUUGUGCUAAAGUUUCCUGUUUACUUGUCUUCAUUUAUUCUCCAAGCAUUGACUUUAGAUCCAUGCAAAUCCAAGGCUAUAAGGAAAGUUGUAGUAGCAGGUUUUCGGCGGGUUAAGUAUAGAAGUUGCACCUCUACUUCCCACAGAGAGGAAUAUUCAAAUCUGUGCUGUGUCAGCACCACCUGGAAGCAUAUUAGCUAAUGGAAACCCAUCUGUCCUGUGUGAACACAGCGAGGAACUUCACUGGGGAGCUGAAUGUUAACGGCUGUAAAUCCCAGGAAAUAAACUUUUUAAGAGCUCCCGGUUUGUUUAAAAUACAUUUUUAAAAACUGAAAUGUAGAAGUUUUCAUAUCUUAUUCAAAGAAGGUGCUUGUUGGUGUUUGUUGAAUGAGUGAUUAUCCAAUUAAAGUUUUCCUGAGGGUGUAAAACCA
Molecule: non-coding RNA, 1997 nt
Organism: Cricetulus griseus (Chinese hamster)
Lineage: Eukaryota; Metazoa; Chordata; Mammalia; Rodentia; Cricetidae
Source: RefSeq, a predicted model, not a curated record